CGACGCCGCGUGAGGGACGACGGCCCCCGGGUUGUAAACCUCUUUCAGCACAGACGAAGCGCAAGUGACGGUAUGUGCAGAAGAAGGACCGGCCAACAACGUGCCAGCAGCCGCGGUAAUACGUAGGGUCCGAGCGUUGUCCGGAAUUACUGGGCGUAAAGAGCUCGUAGGUGGUUUGUCGCGUUGUUCGUGAAAACUCACAGCUCAACUGUGGGCGUGCGGGCGAUACGGGCAGACUAGAGUACUGCAGGGGAGACUGGAAUUCCUGGUGUAGCGGUGGAAUGCGCAGAUAUCAGGAGGAACACCGGUGGCGAAGGCGGGUCUCUGGGCAGUAACUGACGCUGAGGAGCGAAAGCGUGGGGAGCGAACAGGAAUAGAUACCCUGGUAGUCCACGCCGUAAACGGUGGGUACUAGGUGUGGGUUUCCUUCCUUGGGAUCCGUGCCGUAGCUAACGCAUUAAGUACCCCGCCUGGGGAGUACGGCCGCAAGGCUAAAACUCAAAGAAAUUGACGGGGGCCCGCACAAGCGGCGGAGCACGUGGAUUAAUUCGAUGCAACGCGAAGAACCUUACCUGGGUUUGACAUGCACAGGACGUGCCUAGAGAUAGGUAUUCCCUUGUG
This 621-nucleotide ribosomal RNA is filed under the name Mycobacterium sp. Ri3Pt_4361. RNAcentral describes it as "bacterial SSU rRNA". It matches the Rfam family "Bacterial small subunit ribosomal RNA", at positions 392 to 1022 of the family's 1533-position model. The record is from RNAcentral. Lineage: Bacteria; Bacillati; Actinomycetota; Actinomycetes; Mycobacteriales; Mycobacteriaceae.